Molecule: ribosomal RNA, 2085 nt
Filed under: Triticum aestivum (bread wheat)
Lineage: Eukaryota; Viridiplantae; Streptophyta; Magnoliopsida; Poales; Poaceae
Description: partial small subunit ribosomal RNA
Source: RNAcentral
AUGAGAGGUGUUGAUAUCCUUUGCGUCCAAGAAACCAAAUGGAGAGGACAGAAGGCGAAGGAGGUGGAGGAUACCGGCUUCAAGUUGUGGUACACGGGGACGGCUGCAAACAGAAAUGGCGUAGGCAUCUUGAUCAACAAGAGCCUCAAGUAUGGAGUGGUAGACGCCAAGAUACGUGGGGACCGGAUUAUCCUGGUCAAGCUGGUAGUUGAGGACUUGGUUCUCAAUGUUAUCAGCGUGUAUGCCCCGCAAGUAGGCCACAAUGAGAACACCAAGAGGGAGUUCUGGGAAGGCUUGGAAGACAUGGUUAGGAGUGUACCGAUUGGUGAGAAGCUCUUCAUAGGAGGAGACCUCAAUGGCCACGUGGGUACAUCUAACACAUGUUUUGAAGGGGCGCAUGGGGGCUUUGGCUAUGGCAUCAGGAAUCAAGGAGAAGAUGUCUUAAGCUUUGCUCUAGCCAUCAACAUGAUUGUAGCUAACACCCUCUUUAGAAAGAGAGAAUCACAUCUGGUGACUUUUAGUAGUGGCCAACACUCUAGCCAGAUUGAUUUCAUCCUCUCGAGAAGAGAAGAUAGGCGUGCGUGCCUAGACUGUAAGGUGAUACCUGGAGAGAGUGUUGUAUCCCAUCAUAAGCUGGUGAUUACUGACUUCCGCUUUCGGAUUCGUGUCCAGCGGGAUAAGCGUGCCAAAGUCGCUAGAACGAAGUGGUGGAAGCUUAAGGGGGAGGUAGCUCAGGUGUUCAAGGAGAGGGUAAUUAAGGAGGGCCCUUGGGAGGAAGGAGGGGAUGCAGACAAUGUGUGGAUGAAGAUGGCGACUUGCAUCCGUAAGGUGGCCUCGGAGGAGUUUGGAGUGUCCAGGGGAAGGAGAAGCGAAGAUAAGGAUACCUGGUGGUGGAAUGAUGAUGUCCAGAAGGCGAUUAAAGAGAAGAAAGAUUGCUUCAGAUGCCUAUACCUGGAUAGGAGUGCAGACAACAUAGAGAAGUACAAGAUGGCGAAGAAGGCCGCAAAGCAAGCUGUUGGUGAAGCAAGGGGUCGGGCAUAUGAGGACCUCUACCAACGGUUAGGCACGAAGGAAGGUGAAAGGGACAUCUAUAAGAUGGCUAAGAUCCGGGAGAGGAAGACGAGGGAUAUUGGCCAAGUCAAAUGCAUCAAGGACGGAGCAGGCCAACUCUUGGUGAAGGACGAGGAGAUUAAGCAUAGAUGGUGGGAGUACUUCGACAAGCUGUUCAAUGGGGAGAAUGAGAGUUCUACCAUUGAACUGGAUGACUCCUUUGAUGAGACCAGCAUGCGUUUUGUGCGGCGCAUCCAGGAGUCUGAGGUGAAGCAGGCUUUAAAAAGGAUGAAAGGAGGCAAGGCGAUGGGCCCUGAUUGUAUCCCCAUUGAGGUGUGGAAAGGUCUCGGGGACAUAGCGAUAGUAUGGCUAACCAAGCUUUUCAACCUCAUUUUUCGGGCAAACAAGAUGCCAGAAGAAUGGAGACGGAGUAUAUUAGUACCAAUCUUCAAGAACAAGAGGGAUGUUCAGAGUUGUACUAAUUACCGUGGAAUUAAGCUGAUGAGCCAUACAAUGAAGCUAUGGGAGAGAGUCAUUGAGCACCGCUUAAGAAGGAUGACAAGCGUGACCAAAAAUCAGUUUGGUUUCAUGCCUGGGAGGUCGACCAUGAAAGCCAUUUUCUUGGUACGACAACUUAUGGAGAGAUAUAGGGAGCAAAAGAAGGACUUGCAUAUGGUGUUCAUUGACUUGGAAAAGGCCUAUGAUAAGAUACCGCGAAAUGUCAUGUGGUGGGCCUUGGAGAAACACAAAGUUCCAGCAAAGUACAUUACCCUCAUCAAGGACAUGUACGAUAAUGUUGUGACAAGUGUUCGAAUAAGUGAUGUCGACAUUGAUGACUUCCCGAUUAAGAUAGUACUGCAUCAGGGGUCAGCUUUGAGCCCUUAUCUUUUUGCAUUGGUGAUGGAUGAGGUCACAAGGGAUAUACAAGGAGAUAUCCCAUGGUGUAUGCUCUUUGCGGAUGAUGUGGUGCUAGUUGACGAUAGUCGAAUGGGGAUAAAUGGGAAGUUAGAGUUAUGGAGACAAACCUUGGAAUAG